RNAcentral lists this ribosomal RNA (253 nucleotides) under uncultured bacterium. Its description in RNAcentral is "partial 16S ribosomal RNA". It matches the Rfam family "Bacterial small subunit ribosomal RNA", at positions 524 to 776 of the family's 1533-position model. The record is from RNAcentral.
UACAUGGGGUGCAAACGUUGCUCGGAAUCAUUGGGCGUAAAGCGCGCGUAGGCGGUUACUUAAGUCGAAUGUGAAAGCCCUCGGCUUAACUGAGGAAGUGCAUCCGAAACUGAGUAGCUAGAGUACGAAAGAGGGUCGCGGAAUUCCCGGUGUAGAGGUGAAAUUCGUAGAUAUCGGGAGGAACACCGGUGGCGAAGGCGGCGACCUGGGUCGAGACUGACGCUGAGGCGCGAAAGCCAGGGGAGCAAACGGG